CCAGACUCCUACGGGAGGCAGCAGUGGGGAAUAUUGCACAAUGGGCGCAAGCCUGAUGCAGCCAUGCCGCGUGUAUGAAGAAGGCCUUCGGGUUGUAAAGUACUUUCAGUCGGGAGGAAGGUGGUAAGGUUAAUAACCUUAUCAAUUGACGUUACCGACAGAAGAAGCACCGGCUAACUCCGUGCCAGCAGCCGCGGUAAUACGGAGGGUGCAAGCGUUAAUCGGAAUUACUGGGCGUAAAGCGCACGCAGGCGGUCUGUCAAGUCGGAUGUGAAAUCCCCGGGCUCAACCUGGGAACUGCAUUCGAAACUGGCAGGCUGGAGCCUUGUAGAGGGGGGUAGAAUUCCGGGUGUAGCGGUGAAAUGCGUAGAGAUCUGGAGGAAUACCGGUGGCGAAGGCGGCCCCCUGGACAAAGACUGACGCUCAGGUGCGAAAGCGUGGGGAGCAAACAGGAUUAGAUACCCCUGUAA
This 470-nucleotide ribosomal RNA is filed under the name uncultured bacterium. RNAcentral's name for it is "bacterial SSU rRNA". It matches the Rfam family "Bacterial small subunit ribosomal RNA", at positions 331 to 793 of the family's 1533-position model. The record is from RNAcentral.